CCGGAGAUCGAGGCCAACGGAUGCCGUACUCUGUCCUCGCCGGGUGCUCAGUGAGGACCCAGAGCUGGGCAGGGACCCUGGGAGGCCCCUGAGCAAGACUUGGAGGGACGCCCUUGUGCCCCCUGAGCACGUGGGGAAGGCGCUGUCCUGGGCCCUGCACCGCUCUGUGUGUUCAUUGCACGAGUGUGUUAAGCACCUACUAUGUGCACAUGGCCGAGCCAAGCGCAGGGAACGGUAAACCAAGGGAGAACGGCCUUCCCGUGGGGAGCAGUGCAGAGGCUGGCGGGGAGGGCUCAGGUUUCAGCUGAGGUCUAAGGACGGAGGGCAGGGAACCGCCUGAGCCCCACCUGGGAGGGGGAGCUCGGUGCCGGGGAGCAGUGCCAGGACCUGCGAUGGGAGAGGUGUGCAGCCCCGAGGGGUCACUGAUGAGGCAGACGGGUCAGUUGGGUUGACACUCAGAGGGUCCUCAGGGGCAGACGCUGAGACGGGGUUUGGGGUUUGGGGUGCAGAGUGAGUACUGGUGAUCAGCACCUGGGAAGGGGUGGGGAGGGUGCAGGGCCGGGCAGGGACUGUAGGGGCGGCCUGCGUUGGGCUUGGCUGGCACAGCCUUUGUGGCUUGCUUGGACCCAUAUGCAGCCGCCCAGGGACGGGAGACCCUGGUGAGGUGUCUGUGGCCCAAGCCCACCCUGAAGGAGCCGUGGGGCCGACUGCCGACCACGCCUGACAGCACGGCCUUUCAGGUCACCCGCUUCCCUCUAGGCCGGCCUGACCCAGCUCACCUCAUUCUCAACCUCACCAGUCAACACCGGUCAACAUCAGUCACAGAGCGUCUGAAAGGAGGAAUUUUCAUUUUCCUUUAAAGUGAAAAGUGCAGACGACGCUGGCCCACAUCCUUGUCGGGCAGAGGGGCUGCCGACUGGCCCCUGGCCGUGGCUCUUGCUGGGAGCCGUGUGGCCUGGGCUUGGACCCACAUCCACCUCUUGCUGGCUGCCUGCUCUUGCCAGUGGCUGAGCCUGGCUUCUCCCAUGACAGUGGCCGCAGACAGAGGGGACCCGUGCCACCAGGCAAGGUGUCUGGGGGCGAGGUGAGAGUUCUGCCAAAGCCGGAGCCAGGGUUGGACCCCCGGAGCUACUUGGUCGGCCCCUGGAGGGAGAGUGGUGUGUUCACACCAUGGCCCUGGUGGCCCAGCUCUGCCCAUCUUCAUCCCAGGUGGCAGCUGCUGCCCAGCUCUCUGGCCAGUGCCUCUUAGAUGGUGUCACCACCUGCAGAAGAAAACAGAAGUGCUGACUAAUAUUUGAUGAAGGCCUGCUAUGCCGGCGGCACCUGAUGUGGCAGGUGAAGUCAGGGGGGCAGCAGCCAAAGCUGCCUGUUCCUCAGUGUCCCUGCCCGUGAGACGGGCAUAGCUAACUCCUGUAGCCACCUUGAGGGUAAGAUGCUUCCUGCAGGUGCUUGGACCAGUAUCUGGCACGGGGCAGGUGCUCAGUGAAUGUUCCUUAUUAAUCCCUGUACCUUUCACUGUUGGAAGUAACUCAGGACAUUGGCUUGGUGGUUACACAAGCACUGUGGGAGAAGGUGGUGUAUCUGUUCACCCUGGGUCCCAGUGGCUGAGGCAGAGCCAGCCAUGCAGGAAGCAGGCGUCCAAUAUGUAUAUUGGAUGGAAGAUCGAAUUGCAUAAUAAAAUAUAUUAAAGAUUUCCAGAGUGGAGGGGUGAGGAGGUCAACAAACCCUCUCCCCAAAAUGUACCUGUAAAUCUAAACAAAAGUCAGAAACAACCAUGUCGGUGCUUUGGAAUGUAACCAAAGGCAAACAGCAAACCAAGGAGUGUUUAUUCAUCAAA
RNAcentral lists this long non-coding RNA (1837 nucleotides) under Pan troglodytes (chimpanzee). Its description in RNAcentral is "lncRNA (ENSPTRG00000054180.1)". Lineage: Eukaryota; Metazoa; Chordata; Mammalia; Primates; Hominidae. The record is from RNAcentral.